RNAcentral lists this ribosomal RNA (465 nucleotides) under Vreelandella stevensii. Its description in RNAcentral is "partial 16S ribosomal RNA". It matches the Rfam family "Bacterial small subunit ribosomal RNA", at positions 338 to 795 of the family's 1533-position model. The record is from RNAcentral. Lineage: Bacteria; Pseudomonadati; Pseudomonadota; Gammaproteobacteria; Oceanospirillales; Halomonadaceae.
CCUACGGGUGGCAGCAGUGGGGAAUAUUGGACAAUGGGCGAAAGCCUGAUCCAGCCAUGCCGCGUGUGUGAAGAAGGCCUUCGGGUUGUAAAGCACUUUCAGUGGGGAAGAAAGCCUUGGGGCUAAUACCCUCGAGGAAGGACAUCACCCACAGAAGAAGCACCGGCUAACUCCGUGCCAGCAGCCGCGGUAAUACGGAGGGUGCGAGCGUUAAUCGGAAUUACUGGGCGUAAAGCGCGCGUAGGCGGUCUGAUAAGCCGGUUGUGAAAGCCCCGGGCUCAACCUGGGAACGGCAUCCGGAACUGUCAGGCUAGAGUGCAGGAGAGAAAGGUAGAAUUCCCGGUGUAGCGGUGAAAUGCGUAGAGAUCGGGAGGAAUACCAGUGGCGAAGGCGGCCUUCUGGACUGACACUGACGCUGAGGUGCGAAAGCGUGGGUAGCAAACAGGAUUAGAUACCCCGGUAGUC